RNAcentral lists this ribosomal RNA (496 nucleotides) under uncultured bacterium. RNAcentral's name for it is "partial 16S ribosomal RNA". It matches the Rfam family "Bacterial small subunit ribosomal RNA", at positions 28 to 506 of the family's 1533-position model. The record is from RNAcentral.
GACGAACGCUGGCGGCGUGCCUAAUACAUGCAAGUUGAGCGCUGAAGGUUGGUACUUGUACCAACUGGAUGAGCAGCGAACGGGUGAGUAACGCGUGGGGAAUCUGCCUUUGAGCGGGGGACAACAUUUGGAAACGAAUGCUAAUACCGCAUAAAAACUUUAAACACAAGUUUUAAGUUUGAAAGAUGCAAUUGCAUCACUCAAAGAUGAUCCCGCGUUGUAUUAGCUAGUUGGUGAGGUAAAGGCUCACCAAGGCGAUGAUACAUAGCCGACCUGAGAGGGUGAUCGGCCACAUUGGGACUGAGACACGGCCCAAACUCCUACGGGAGGCAGCAGUAGGGAAUCUUCGGCAAUGGACGAAAGUCUGACCGAGCAACGCCGCGUGAGUGAAGAAGGUUUUCGGAUCGAAAAACUCUGUUGGUAGAGAAGAACGUUGGUGAGAGUGGAAAGCUCAUCAAGUGACGGUAACUACCCAGAAAGGGACGGCUAACUACGU